This 322-nucleotide unclassified non-coding RNA is filed under the name Hevea brasiliensis (rubber tree). Lineage: Eukaryota; Viridiplantae; Streptophyta; Magnoliopsida; Malpighiales; Euphorbiaceae. The record is from RNAcentral.
UUUCAAUGGAAGGAAAGGAAGAAGAAUGUGGUUCAACACCAUGGUGGGGAUGCAUGGAAAGGAGCACAGCUCGGCCUUAAUGGCGGAUGGGACGGAGAUUCCAGAGAAUGUAGUGAAGAGAUGCCAAGAGAUAAUUGAAGAAGAAAGCAUCCAGUUCAAAUGGGAAAAGGGGGAUGUUCUGUUCUUGGAUAACUAUGCUUUGCUCCAUGGAAGAAGGCCUUCUCUUCCUCCCAGAAGAGUAUUGGUUGCAACCUGCAAGUAGUUUAUUGAAUUGCUGCCUGGAUACAUAUACAUAUACAUAAGAUAUAGAUAUGGUUCAAUG